ACUGAGGGCAGUUUGACCCUCCCAGGUAGAUCUUGGUCAAGGCAUGUGAAGGGACAGUUGGGGGUUGGGGGGGAGCUGUAUUCAGCCUGCAGGCUGUAGUGUACUGCUCUGGUUUAGCAGGCCGAUCUUAAUUGUUCAAACUCCCUCCCUUCUUAGUGUUGUCCCUUAUUUUAGAGACAAAGUGCUAGAAAAGCCAGAGUCUGUUCAGUGAUCACAGAAAGGUCGCUAACAACCACAAAAGGCCACCUUUAGAGAAAAACCUCCACCAAGUGGAAGCAACAGAAAUUGGGAGCUUUUACCCUCCGGCAGAUGCUGAGAAAUGAAGAUUCUACUUUCUUCCCAUUGUCCCUCAACGGAAGGCUGGGUGUUUUAAUUAGCUAAUGUUGGCAAAUUGCUUUGAAGAAAAUUGUAAAAUGUUUCGUGCUCCAAGUGCCAAGAAUUCUAAUUAGCUUUUCUUAAAGAUACCACCUGGAAGCGUGAGCGCUUGUUGCUCGAGGUCCCAGCCAGCAAGAAUAACCUGCGGACCCCAAACCGGUUUUUAAGCAAACGCAACUGAAUACAAACAGAUCUCUACAUUGAUGUCACACUUUCUUCCUUCUGCUGAAUAUGAUUCCUAGCAGCUGGGAUAUUAAGCCCCCAGAAUGGAGCUUGUGCGUCUGAGGCCCUGCCCCGGCACGUCAAGGUCACAGAGAGGAGGAGGCGGGCAGCCACUCAAUCAUGCACCAGGGCCAGCUCCCAGGUCCCCCGGUCUGGGAGAGACGCGUGUAUGCUCUGUCGCUCUUAACAGCUGGGUAAUGAGUUUGCUCUCCAACAGUCUCGUUUCAUGUGGUGGCGGUGGUGACCGCAGCAGCAUCUGAUCUGUGUCACCGUCAGAAGCAAGUGAGAUGUAGUUAAUAUGGACCUUAGCCACCGACGGGCAUUGAUUGGGAAUCUCCAGGCACUGACAAAGUCCCGCUAAAUUGGCAGGGCCGGGCGCCAUGUGAGAGGAGGCGCCCAGCCCGGGGCCGGGGAGGAAUUCCUUACCCUCACCACCAUUGGCAUCUGGGGCCAGACGAGUCUUUGAGGUGGGAGCGGGGAGGCUGCUCUGUGCACUGUAGGGCUUUGGGCAGCAUCUCUGGCCUCUACCCAGUAGGUGCCAGUAGCAGCCCUCCUUCCCAGUGGCAACAAUGUCCCAGUGUGUCCCAGUGUCCCACGAUGUCCCAAAUCCAGCCUCACGUUCCCGAGAACCACCAGGUUAAGGGGAGGGGUGGGGCAGGGAGUCAUGUUGUUCAGGGACGCACUUGUACCAGCGACCUAGUGGAGAGGGGGCUCCAAGCAUCGCUCUUGAGUCCUCUGUGCCAUAUCCUCCUCUAAUCCACGAACAAGUCCCAAAGGUUCUACCUCGAAGGCAUGUUCUGCAGCAGACCACUUCCUGCCACCCUGCCUCGCCUGCUCUCAUUCAAGCCCCUCCAUUUCUAGUCUAGAAGAGGCCAGCAGCCUCCCAGCUGGUUCUCCCACUCCUGUUUGCUCCCUACAGAGGAACCCUCAGGAAAGGAAAGCAAGAGCAUCUCACCAUCCUGCUGGGAAGCCCCAGGCUCCCUAGCACGUACCCUUGAAAUCACCAGGCGGUGUGCUCUGUGGACUCCUCCCGUCUGCCCAGAGACAUCCUUCCUGCCCCUGGAUGUCUGGUUGAAUCUCUCCAGAGGCCUUCCCUCACCCCUACCCUGAAGACCAGACGUCCGUGUUCUCUGAUACAGGGGCCUCAGCCUCAGCACUGGUGCCAUUUGGGGCCAGACGAUUUCUGUAGUGGGAGCUGCCGUGGGCAUUGUAAGAUGUUGGGCAGCGUCCCUCACCCCUCCCC
Long non-coding RNA from Bos taurus (domestic cattle), 1840 nucleotides. The record is from Ensembl. Lineage: Eukaryota; Metazoa; Chordata; Mammalia; Artiodactyla; Bovidae.